RNAcentral lists this ribosomal RNA (467 nucleotides) under uncultured bacterium. Its description in RNAcentral is "partial 16S ribosomal RNA". It matches the Rfam family "Bacterial small subunit ribosomal RNA", at positions 28 to 507 of the family's 1533-position model. The record is from RNAcentral.
GAUGAACGCUGGCGGCGUGCUUAACACAUGCAAGUCGAACGGAAAGGCCUCUGCUUGCAGGGGUACUCGAGUGGCGAACGGGUGAGUAACACGUGGGUGAUCUGCCCUGCACUUCGGGAUAAGCCUGGGAAACUGGGUCUAAUACCGGAUAGGACAAUGGUUUGGAUGCUGUUGUGGAAAGUUUUUCGGUGUGGGAUGAGCUCGCGGCCUAUCAGCUUGUUGGUGGGGUAAUGGCCUACCAAGGCGUCGACGGGUAGCCGGCCUGAGAGGGUGUACGGCCACAUUGGGACUGAGACACGGCCCAGACUCCUACGGGAGGCAGCAGUGGGGAAUAUUGCACAAUGGGCGCAAGCCUGAUGCAGCGACGCCGCGUGGGGGAUGACGGCCUUCGGGUUGUAAACUCCUUUCGCUAGGGACGAAGCGUUUUUGUGACGGUACCUGGAGAAGAAGCACCGGCUAACUACGUG